This 423-nucleotide ribosomal RNA is filed under the name uncultured bacterium. RNAcentral's name for it is "bacterial SSU rRNA". It matches the Rfam family "Bacterial small subunit ribosomal RNA", at positions 207 to 622 of the family's 1533-position model. The record is from RNAcentral.
AAGACCUUGCACUUUUGGAGCGGCCGAUGUCUGAUUAGCUAGUUGGUGGGGUAAUGGCCUACCAAAGCUUCGAUCAGUAGCUGGUCUGAGAGGACGGCCAGCCACACUGGGACUGAGACACGGCCCAGACUCCUACGGGAGGCAGCAGUGGGGAAUUUUGGACAAUGGGCGCAAGCCUGAUCCAGCCAUGCCGCGUGAGUGAAGAAGGCCUUCGGGUUGUAAAGCUCUUUCAGCCGGGAAGAAAAGGUUGCGACUAAUAAUCGCAAUUCAUGACGGUACCGAAAGAAGAAGCACCGGCUAACUACGUGCCAGCAGCCGCGGUAAUACGUAGGGUGCGAGCGUUAAUCGGAAUUACUGGGCGUAAAGGGUGCGCAGGCGGUUUUGUAAGUCAGAUGUGAAMUCCCCGGGCUUAACCUGGGAACU